This 600-nucleotide long non-coding RNA is filed under the name Chinchilla lanigera (long-tailed chinchilla). Its description in RNAcentral is "lncRNA (ENSCLAG00000028032.1)". Lineage: Eukaryota; Metazoa; Chordata; Mammalia; Rodentia; Chinchillidae. The record is from RNAcentral.
GUCAGACUUAUCUCAUGUUCCACAGAUUGCUGACCUCUGUUUUAUCUCUUUAAAUUUUCACAGUAAGCUGCAUGAGAUAAUUACGUUGUCCCAUGUUGCAGAUGAGUGUUGCAGAGCCUUAAUAUUUAUCUGAAUCUCCGGCCAUCAGGCAAUACUCUCCAGGGAAAGAAUCCCCUUGCUGAACUUUGCAAAACCUAGAAGAGAUACAAAAAGAGAUCCGUCUUUCACAUAUGCAGGAUGGUGCACAAUAUACCUUGGGUAAGAGAAAAAUCCUAUUAAAAAAAGAAGAAAGAAAAAAACGUUAUUGACCUGAAAUCCUACCUAAUUUAAACUGCUUGUGCAGUCUGACAAGUGAGCAUCCGAAAGAGCAAAUGUUAAAGCCAUUUUGAGUGCAAAUCACAGGAUUCCAGCCAGUGCCUGGUGGCUUCUCCACUCCUGAGGAGGGGCUAUGAGGUAAGAGGUGAGAUCUGCUUCAUAGUGGUCUCCAUCAACCUGGACCUGCCCCUCAGGCUGUGCACUGACGGGACUGCACUGCUAAAUGGCCCUUUGCUAAGUGUGCAGAGGAAGGAGUACCAGGAAGCAGCAGUGAAAUGAACUGGA